This 126-nucleotide small nucleolar RNA is filed under the name Echinops telfairi (small Madagascar hedgehog). RNAcentral's name for it is "Small nucleolar RNA SNORA9 (ENSETEG00000025611.1)". Lineage: Eukaryota; Metazoa; Chordata; Mammalia; Afrosoricida; Tenrecidae. The record is from RNAcentral.
CAGCAGGCCUCCAGUGUGCCUGGGUCCCGUGUGACCCUGUGACUCCUACAACAUAGUGCUUGUAAUAACACUUUGAAACGGGUUGAGGCCUUGCUCUAGACAGUGAUUCUCAACUUUCCUAAUGCC